This 329-nucleotide unclassified non-coding RNA is filed under the name soil metagenome. RNAcentral describes it as "partial contains 5.8S ribosomal RNA, internal transcribed spacer 2, and large subunit ribosomal RNA". The stretch from base 1 to 120 matches the Rfam family "5.8S ribosomal RNA", at positions 35 to 154 of the family's 154-position model. The record is from RNAcentral.
GAUGAAGAACGUAGCGAAAUGCGAUAAGUAAUGUGAAUUGCAGAAUUCAGUGAAUCAUCGAAUCUUUGAACGCACAUUGCGCACCUUGGUAUUCCGAGGGGCAUGCCUGUUCGAGCGUCAUUAUAACCCCUCAAGCUCAGCUUGGUGUUGGGGCCUGCUGCACUGGCAGCCCUUAAAAUCAGUGGUGGCGCCAUCUGGCUCUAAGCGUAGUAAUUCUUCUCGCUAUGGAGUCCUGGUGGAUGCUUGCCAUCAACCCCCAAUUUUUCUAUGGUUGACCUCGGAUCAGGUAGGGAUACCCGCUGAACUUAAGCAUAUCAAUAAGCGGAGGA